GCAGUCAUGACAAAGUAGGAAGCUUAGUCCAAAGCAAGAGUAAUGAACAGCAAAGAGGUGCCCCGAGGCAGCCAUGUGGUGGGUGGUUUUGUUCCAUCCUGAAGUACUACCUCAGCACUGAGCCAUCAGCAAGAGCAAUCAAUCACGGACUGAAAUCCUCAAUACCACAAGCCAACACAGCUUCUGAAAUAUUCCUUCAAAACUCCAGAGAGAUCAGACUCCAAAGGAGGAGGAGAAACGAUGGCUCUGAUGUAUCUAAAACUAAAGAAUGACCGUUUGGCUCUGGACAACCACUUGCUGGGCUCUUCCCUGAAGAGGACUAUCGCUCUUGCUCUCAGCGUGCCUCUGUGCACGACUGAGGCUGCGUGAGCUUCACCCUUCCAUGUCAGCAUGCCUGCUGUGGUUGUCCUGGCUUAGCUGAUGCCUGGGUAGUUACGUUGGUGAGACAUUGUGUGUAUACCUCCUAAUCUCUGGAGAUGACACAAUUACAAUCUUUCUUCUCCCUUC
Mus musculus (house mouse) is the source of this 507-nucleotide long non-coding RNA. RefSeq annotates it as predicted gene, 33077. The transcript is spliced from 4 exons. NCBI's taxonomy places the organism in Eukaryota, Metazoa, Chordata, Mammalia, Rodentia, Muridae. The record is from RefSeq and is a predicted model, not a curated record.